Long non-coding RNA from Passer domesticus (house sparrow), 1798 nucleotides. RefSeq lists it as uncharacterized. The record is from RefSeq and is a predicted model, not a curated record. Lineage: Eukaryota; Metazoa; Chordata; Aves; Passeriformes; Passeridae. The transcript is spliced from 3 exons.
AGCUAGCAGGAACCACCAGCACUAGAAGAAAAGCUUGAUUUGUUCCUUCUUUCCUUCUUCUUUGUAAAACCCCUUACAGUGUGCUAUUUAGUCCAUUCAGAAUCCCUCUGAAUCUAACACUAGAUUCUGUGCCAAACCAAGAAAGGAGCUUUCAUCAAGCACUGAAUCACUGCUGCAAGUCGUUACUGUUUCACUCCUUGCUGCCCAUCCAUAAUGUGCAUGUUCCCUGUUGGCCACCUCACCUAUUCAAGCCAAACAACCCAAUUCUUUCAACUGUUUCUUGUAGGAGAGGCGCCCCAUUCCUCUGUUCUUCAUGGUUCACCUCUGGAGUCACUCCAACAGGUCCAUGUUCUUCCUGUGCUGGCAUCCCAGGCUGACUGCAGCUCUGCAGGUGGGGUCUCAGCAGAGCAGAGAAGAGGAGCAGAAAGUCUGAAAUGAUUCAAAUUAAUUUUUAGCUUGUGUCAACAUGACUGUGACAAUUUCAAGUAAACCUAUUAGAGUAAAGGAGUUUACUGAACUACCAACUACAAUUGAACUGUAGGAUUCAGGGGAAGAAAAGAUGAAAAAUGAAAAUUGCUUGACAUCAGAGAAGAAACAAGAAUAAAAUAGUUUACAUAUAUAUAAAAGCCUUAGUUGAAAGUAAUACUAGAGAUGCCACAGAGAUAUUAUGUAAGCCAACAAUACAGCUCCACCUUGAAUGCCAAUGAUUUCUGGUUAUCCUGCCCAUAAAUUAUAAAAAACCUGAAAUAUUCAGAGAAAAAUGACAAAAAAGAUAAGCAAAAAGAGGGUCCAUAGAAAGUGCAUUGAAAAUAUGAGUUAAAGGCACUGUGACAAAGGCGUGGAAAAUGAUGCUUCUAUCCAUGUGCUCUCAAAACAUAUAGAGAUUUCUGCUAAAAUAAAAUGAAGAGUUUCUGUAAGACGAGAUAUACUUCUUAAACCAAAGGGUUAGGAAGGCUACAUAUUAUGCAGGUUAUGACAUUAUUUUCUGGCAAAUUUUUUUUACAAUUUUUUGGGAGCAACUGACCCAGGCCAUCAUAAAUGAGUCCCAGAGCACUUGAAAGAAGAAAGAGAGAACACAAAAAAAUAUAAGAUAUGGUCUUAAUUCUGUUUUUUUCUUUUGAUAAGGUUUAUUAAAUUAUUAUAAUUUAAUAAGUAUACUUGGUGUGGUUUUGCUAACACAUUAAGAUUCCGUAGAUUUCUAUAUCAUGUUAGUUUGAUACACUUCCUUCAAAUUCCUCUUUAUUGUCAGAAAUAUUAUUUCUCAAUAUUUUCCUCAUUUUCAUAUUUCUAUUCCUCAGAUCCUUCUGUGAAUUCCUUUCAGAAUAAUUGAAACUUCCAAUACAGCUUGAUAAAUUCAGUUAUUGUGUAAUCAAAUCGCUGUAUGGUGGCCAUGUUCUCCUCCAGAAUGGCUUUUUCUUUAAUCGCUACAUAGGAAUUAGAAAUGUCUUUCUGCUGUUUGUCACUUUAUUAAGUAUGGCCCUUGCCCAAAUCUUUGAAAUCCUUGAAAUACUGUUGUUAAAUCAGUAUUGAUCAUCAUGGCACCCUGUCACCGACUUAGCGGAUUUUCCCACUGAUUUUGAUAAACGUGCACAAACCUUUCAGAGAGCAAAAUUCAGACCAGUGUAAAAAGGCUUGAUAAUUAUGAAAGCUUCUUCUGAAUCUUGCUUUAUUAAAAAAAAUAUAAAAUUAAUUUAUUACUUUCUUCUGUUCCAGGCAUAAGAAAGAUUGUAAAGUGUUAGUGGGUUUCACUGAAUGAAUAGCCACAAUAAUUAAAUACAAAUGUAAAAGAAAAAAAAAA